ACCCGCUCCGGGCGCUGCCGCCGGAAGGGCCGGCGACGGAGGGUCUCAGAUGGCGGGGCUGGAGGCCCACCCGGGCUUUCGGGCCGGCGAGUCCCGUGGGGGCGCCCUUGUGCCUGCUAGGAUAUUUAGCAAAUGGCAGGCGACCAGAAACGUCCUCACUUUUCUCCCUCGGCCCCCUGGGGAACCGCCGUGAGCGUUUCCCACGGACACAAACUUAACAGGCCCAGAACGUCCAGGGAGGACGCGUUGUGAACCUCAAAGAGCCCACUUACGUGACCGACAGCACCGGGCCGACGGGCACUCGCUGAACUGGCCCGGAGCAGCACAACUCUGAAGUGGGCACUGGCAUCUUUUGUACAAAUAAAGGAAAGUGGCCCCACGUCCCUAAAACAACAGCUUGCUGAAGAGAGAUCGCAAAGCAUCCCCCACUGCAGCUCAGGCCUGACUCCAAAGCUCUUCUGCUUUAGAAAGUGUGACUAUUUCUGCUGUAGAAAACCGGUAUCUAGGCCGGGCGCGGUGGCUCACGCCUGUAAUCCCAGCACUUGGGAGGCUGAGAUCUAUUGAAAACAGCUGGGCACCGUGGCUCACACCUGGAAUCCCAGCUGAGGCAGGAGGCUCCCUUGUGCCCAGGAAUUGAAGGUUGCAGUAAGCUAUGAUUGUGUCACUGCAUGCCAGCCUGGGAAACAGUGCAAGACCUUGCAUAUUAGAAAAAAGUUUCUGGGAAGUAUACCAAAAGUCUUAACUAAGAUUUGCUAAAUGAAUAUUAAUUAAAUAACCUAACAGCAAGUACAUGGGGAAGUUGGAGGAUCUAGAAUCUGACUUCCUUGACACCAACUAUUCCUGCAUUUAGCAGGUAAAAGCCCGAUAGCAUGAUUGAGUGGAAACAUGAAGGGACAAGGGUUUGGCUAGUUAUGUUUAUAAAAAGUCAACAUAGGAAUUGAGUCAAGAUACCAGAAACUCUACUUAUAGUAAGAUCCCAAUUGCAAAAACGGAGAAUGGAAGCAUACAGAACUGUACCUUCUGCUCAAUUUUGCUGUGAAUGUAAACUUCCUCUAACACAUAAAAUGUAUUUUAAAGAAAAAAA
This 1084-nucleotide long non-coding RNA is filed under the name Pongo abelii (Sumatran orangutan). Its description in RNAcentral is "lincRNA". Lineage: Eukaryota; Metazoa; Chordata; Mammalia; Primates; Hominidae. The record is from RNAcentral.